Molecule: unclassified non-coding RNA, 336 nt
Filed under: Hevea brasiliensis (rubber tree)
Lineage: Eukaryota; Viridiplantae; Streptophyta; Magnoliopsida; Malpighiales; Euphorbiaceae
Source: RNAcentral
GCUUUGGACCGUUGGAUUAAGCCUAGUUCAAAUUUGCUCCACAAGAUGAACGAUGAAGCCCUCUUUUGGAGAGCUUCGUUUGUUCCUAAAAUAAAAAAGUACCCUUUCAAGAGAGUUCCAAAGAUUGCAUUUAUGUUCUUGACGAAGGGGCCACUGCCUCUGGCAGCUCUUUGGGAAAGGUUUCUGAAGGGGCAUGACGGGUUGUAUUCAAUCUAUGUUCAUUCACCGCCAACAUUUGAAGCCAAAUUUCCACCUUCAUCCGUUUUUUAUGGAAGACAUAUCCCAAGUCAGAUUUCUGAAUGGGGUAAGAUGAAUAUGUGUGAUGCUGAAAGAAGG